This 382-nucleotide long non-coding RNA is filed under the name Olea europaea (common olive). RNAcentral's name for it is "long non-coding RNA (OEUR_LNC003180)". The record is from RNAcentral. Lineage: Eukaryota; Viridiplantae; Streptophyta; Magnoliopsida; Lamiales; Oleaceae.
GUGUAUGAGGGGAUGGAAAAUGAAGAAAAAGAGCCAUUCAAGAAUCUGACAUUAAGGCAUUUUUGUAUACAGUAUAUGAUUAUAAUACUGGUCAUUGCAGUAAUACUCUUGGUGUUGCCACCGUUUCUUCCAACGCUUCCGCCACCACCAACCAUCGUUCUCUUGGUCCCAAUCUUGAUCAUGGCUGGGCUAAUAUACCCGGCCUUUACGCUGCCAAAAUUGCCAGCCGCUCCGCCAAGGCCCCGUCGAGCUGAAUAUAUAUUCGUUGCUAGAGAUUAAUCUUGAUUGCAGAAAUCUCGUAUUUGCAUGUAACAAAAACUGGUGAAAAUAAACAAGAUUUUCUUCUUGAUCUUGAUCUGUUGGUGUUGAUUGAUUAAAAAUG